RNAcentral lists this ribosomal RNA (447 nucleotides) under uncultured bacterium. RNAcentral's name for it is "bacterial SSU rRNA". It matches the Rfam family "Bacterial small subunit ribosomal RNA", at positions 355 to 825 of the family's 1533-position model. The record is from RNAcentral.
UCGGGAAUUUUGGGCAAUGGGCGAAAGCCUGACCCAGCAACGCCGCGUGAAGGAUGAAGUAUUUCGGUAUGUAAACUUCGUAAGAAUAGGAAGAAUAAAUGACGGUACUAUUUGUAAGGUCCGGCCAACUACGUGCCAGCAGCCGCGGUAAUACGUAGGGACCAAGCGUUGUUCGGAUUUACUGGGCGUAAAGGGCGCGUAGGCGGUGUGUCAAGUCAGUUGUGAAAUCUCCGAGCUUAACUCGGAACGGUCAACUGAUACUGCCACACUAGAGUACAGAAGGGGCAAUCGGAAUUCUUGGUGUAGCGGUGAAAUGCGUAGAUAUCAAGAGGAACACCUGAGGCGAAGGCGGGUUGCUGGGCUGAUACUGACGCUGAGGCGCGAAAGCUAGGGUAGCAAACGGGAUUAGAUACCCUUGUAGUCCCUGAGCGGGCUGGCAAGGCGCAU